Long non-coding RNA from Ziziphus jujuba (common jujube), 980 nucleotides. RefSeq lists it as uncharacterized. The record is from RefSeq and is a predicted model, not a curated record. The transcript is spliced from 7 exons. Lineage: Eukaryota; Viridiplantae; Streptophyta; Magnoliopsida; Rosales; Rhamnaceae.
CUUCAUUUAGAUGGGUGUGGUAGUUCAAUUGGUACGAGCACCACCACCCAAGCUUACUGUGAAGGGUUCAAGUCUAUCGGGGGGAAACGGGGUGCCUGGGGCAUAGCCAAAAAAAAAAAAACUUUAAUAUUUGGUAAAAUGAAAUUUUCAUCUACAGGAGGGAAGUUUUGCAGCUGCAUUUUCAUUUCCCUUCAAAUGAUGUUUGCUCUAGUCCUCUUUUGAAACACAGCCUCCAAUCCAAUUAGUCCUCCGAUUGCCGAUGUUGUCCUUGCAGGUUCGUACUCUCCGAUCGGCAGCCCCUCUUGCUCUAUCUCUUAGAGGCCGAAGAUUGGCCAUGAUGAGUACAAUUCCUAUGUUGAUUUCAAUCUUUGGGACUUGAAGAAGGUUGAUUUGAGAAAAUUCGAUCUCGAUUCGGCUCUCAACGGGUUUGUAUAUUUUGAGACAAGUGGGUUUUGGGGUAGAUGAUGAGAGAGAGUGGAGGUUCUGGAAGUUUGUGGAAGGAGCUGAGCUUGGAUUGGGACUCCCUAUUCACACGGUGCAUAGGAUCAAGAGCUACGAAUCAAAAUUAGCAAGGUUGAGUUACUAGAGGAUGUGAUGACACAACUAAAGAAAAUUUCUGUAAUCCGUAGGCUUUGUCCAAAGGUAAUUAGACAGUUCAGUCUUGGUUCAUCAUUAGGAAGUUAGAUCAAGAUUUAUUUAUCGUGGAUGAGAUCUUGUAGGCCAAGUCUUAAGAUUUGAGAUUUGAAAGUGGAUGAAGAACUCAAAAUGAAAAGUGCAGACUAACAUGUUUUUAAAGACCCAAGAUGAAGUUAAAUGCAAUAUUCAUCCACCACCAUUACUUCUGUAGCUGCACUUUUUCUAUAGAAUUUUAUUGCACCUUUUCUGUAGAAUUUUAUUUUCUUUGUACACAUUUAAAUCAUUGUUGUAAUUACACAAUGACAAUUAAUUAUUUGUUUAUGAUGACUAUAGUUUUUAUAAAA